RNAcentral lists this transfer RNA (72 nucleotides) under Photobacterium iliopiscarium. It matches the Rfam family "tRNA". From Rfam's summary of the family: Transfer RNA (tRNA) molecules are approximately 80 nucleotides in length. The record is from RNAcentral. RNAcentral also lists the same sequence under 2 other names. Lineage: Bacteria; Pseudomonadati; Pseudomonadota; Gammaproteobacteria; Vibrionales; Vibrionaceae.
GAGUGGUAGUUCAGUUGGUUAGAAUACCGGCCUGUCACGCCGGGGGUCGCGGGUUCGAAUCCCGUCCACUCC